Molecule: ribosomal RNA, 460 nt
Filed under: uncultured archaeon
Lineage: Archaea
Description: bacterial SSU rRNA
Rfam family: Archaeal small subunit ribosomal RNA
Source: RNAcentral
AGUGUGACGGGGUUACCCAAAGUGUUCAAUUUUGAACUGUGGUAGGUGAGUAAUGUUCCCUACUAGAAAGGAGAGGGCAAGGCUGGUGCCAGCCGCCGCGGUAAAACCAGCUCUUCAAGUGGUCGGGAUAAUUAUUGGGCUUAAAGUGUCCGUAGCCGGUUUAGUAAGUUCCUGGUAAAAUCGGGUAGCUUAACUAUCUAUAUGCUAGGAAUACUACUAUACUAGAGGGCGGGAGAGGUCUGAGGUACUGCAGGGGUAGGGGUGAAAUCUUAUAAUCCUUGUUGGACCACCAGUGGCGAAGGCGUCAGACUGGAACGCGCCUGACGGUGAGGGACGAAAGCCAGGGGAGCGAACCGGAUUAGAUACCCGGGUAGUCCUGGCCGUAAACGAUGCAUACUAGGUGAUGGCACGGCCAUGAGCCGUGUCAGUGCCGUAGGGAAACCGUUAAGUGUGCCGCCUG